Molecule: ribosomal RNA, 253 nt
Filed under: uncultured bacterium
Lineage: Bacteria
Description: partial 16S ribosomal RNA
Rfam family: Bacterial small subunit ribosomal RNA
Source: RNAcentral
UACGUAGGGUGCGAGCGUUAAUCGGAAUUACUGGGCGUAAAGCGUGCGCAGGCGGUUCGUGAAGUCCGAUGUGAAAGCCCCGGGCCUAACCUGGGAAUGGCAUUGGAAACUGGCGGGCUAGAGUUUGGCAGAGGGGGGUGGAAUUCCUGGUGUAGCAGUGAAAUGCGUAGAGAUCAGGAGGAACACCGAUGGCGAAGGAAGCCCCCUGGGCUGGAACUGACGAUCAGGCACGAAAGCGUGGGGAGCAAACAGG